AGUUGUGUACUCAGUAGCACCAAAGAUCAAUUCAGGAGCCCGAUAAUAACGAGAACAAAUGUAUGAUAUGUUGGGCUCUCCAGGCACCAACAUCUUUGCACUACCAAAAUCACAGAGCUUUAGCUGAUGCGAGUGGGGAUUAACCAAAAGAUUCUGUGGUUUAAUAUCACGAUGGCAUACACCAAGGACACCAUGCAUGUAAUUCAGAGCACGGCAUAUCUGGUAUGUGUAUAGCUGCACAUAUAUAUUGGGCAUGUGUUGGUUCAUUCUGCUGUAGUGCCUUGAUACUCGGUAAACAGUUUCAGACACGUAUUCCAGGACAAGGUUAAGGUAGACUUCAUUCUUCUCAGUAGUAGAAUAGAAGCAGUGUCGUAGUUUAACAACAUUAGGAUGAUCAAGUGUGCGCAUAAUCUGAAGUUCCCUGUUCUUGUAUCUCCUAUCCUGUAAGACCUUCUUUAUUGCAACAGAUUCACCAGUUUCCAAGCACUUAGCCUGAAAGACAACUCCAAAUGAACCAGUGCCAACCACGCGCUCCGCCAUGUAAGACAAUGUCUGUUUCUCUUGUCCAUUCCUACCACUCACAGUAGUCACAAUAAUCUGACCAGUUUCUGUUCCAUUUCCACUAACAACAGCAGGUUCCAUAUCCUUCAAAUUAUCAUCUAGACUAUCAGCUUUAUCAUCUUUUUCAUCCUUAAUUUUCAUUUCAUGCAUUUCUUUAGGAAGUUCAUCAAGUUCAGAAUUUUCAAGUCUAAUAUCCAUUGUUGAGGUACUUCCAGCAGUGGUUUCCAUAGAUGUAGAAGCCAUGUCUUCCUUUGGAACUGUAGUAGUUGUACAUCCCUCUUCCAUUUGAGUUUCACCAACCACUCUUUGAUCUACUUCUUUCUCAACCUUCACCCUCUUUAUGCUUGAAUCACCACCAGGAUCUGAAACAGAAGAACGUCCAGAAGCAAUGCUCUUAAGGCGACGCAUGACAUUCAUCUCUGCUUCGCCAAGAGCCCAAAAGAAAAACCCCUCUGAGCGGUCCUUGAAAAUUUUUCGAGAGUAAUUGAUAAGUCCUUCUCUUCUUCCUCAAACACCUGAAAAGUAUUUUUCUUCAAUGGUGAAGAUGGAGGAGGGAGAGAGAAAGAGAGAAAAACAAA
This 1139-nucleotide unclassified non-coding RNA is filed under the name Hevea brasiliensis (rubber tree). The record is from RNAcentral. Lineage: Eukaryota; Viridiplantae; Streptophyta; Magnoliopsida; Malpighiales; Euphorbiaceae.